GCGCUCGUAGCUCAAUGGAUAGAGCACUUGUCUUCGGAACAAGGGAUUGCAGGUUCGAGCCCUGCCGAGCGCACUA
This 76-nucleotide transfer RNA is filed under the name Candidatus Moranbacteria bacterium CG23_combo_of_CG06-09_8_20_14_all_39_10. RNAcentral's name for it is "tRNA-Arg". It matches the Rfam family "tRNA". From Rfam's summary of the family: Transfer RNA (tRNA) molecules are approximately 80 nucleotides in length. Their secondary structure includes four short double-helical elements and three loops (D, anti-codon, and T loops). Lineage: Bacteria; Candidatus Moraniibacteriota. The record is from RNAcentral.